Long non-coding RNA from Callorhinus ursinus (northern fur seal), 2157 nucleotides. RefSeq lists it as uncharacterized. The record is from RefSeq and is a predicted model, not a curated record. NCBI's taxonomy places the organism in Eukaryota, Metazoa, Chordata, Mammalia, Carnivora, Otariidae.
CAGACACUUAACGACUGAGUCACCCAGGCGCCCCUGUCAUGCUUUUUCCUGAUGGGUCAUUAAAUGUUUAGGUGGGCUCUAGGGAGCACUCUGCCACCCAACAUUGGAAUGGGAGAAAUGGCAGGCUAAGGUUAAUAGCUAAUGCCCCUGGGCCCUGUUGUGACACCAUAAUGGUUACUGUUGAUUGGACAGUUGUAGGCUUUGAGACCGGUGAUUGAGACAAGGCCCUUUGUUCAAGACUGAUUCAGCUGUUGGACCUGCAGGAGCCUGAGUGGUGAGUAGGUUCUCUACCCUACCCCACACCCAGAAGAGGAGGGAGACCAUGAAAUUGUGCAGCUAGAAUUUGGAGAAUUCCUUCCCUCCCUAAUGUGUAGAAUAACUGUUGACAAAGAAGUCAGAGUGAACGGAAUCAUUGAAGCCAGCUGGUACUUCUGUAUAGUAACAUACCCAAGAAUAUUUCAUUUUUAAAACAAAAAAAUACACCCAGAAGAAAACUUCUUAAGGCAAAAUGCUGUCUACAGUUACUGCUUUACAUUUAUUCAGUGAUUGGCUCUGCCCCUGAAGGACUUUGCAGCCAGUUGAAGACAGAAGACAAAACACAUAAGGAAUUCCUGCUCCAGUUGUCUGGUGUUUGGUGAUCUUGGGGGAUAUGGGAAAUUCACAGAGAAGUCCUAAAACAAAAAUAAUUUUACUUCUAUUUAAUUUAUGAGCUAUGUAUCAUCAGUACAGCUUUUUAGUAAAAUACAGUUUAUAAAGUCAAGUGAUAGUAAAUCUCAACUCCAAAGAAAGAGGAAAGGAAGAAUUAGCAACCUCUCAACAAGAGGAUAGUUUCAAGUAUGUUCAUAAACAUGAUGAAAAAGCUCCAAAUCUGCUCUGCUUAGGAGCUCCUGAGAGCCCAGGAAGGUUGAGCCUUUUAUUGUGGAGGUUAAAAAGUAAGUGGACAGUUAGUUGCCAGGUGAGGUGGUAGUUCCUCACCUCCCUCCUGGGAGCGGGUUUUACUGUAGGGCAAUCACAGGGGGAAGCUGGAGAAUGUGAUCCAAGAAGAACAUGAGAAAGAUCCUUCCAGAAACUUGUCCUGACUGAGCAGAACUCCAAAUAGAACAUCACAGUAGCUGCUUAUUGUUCAGACCUCAAGAUCACACCUGGAACGUAGAGCCAAAGCACAUCUCAGCCGGCUUGGUCUCGCCAUGGAUAUGAGUCUGAGUACCAUGCAUGCCCGCCUCAGUGUUAAGACUUCUGUGGUGACAAGUAAUGGAAUUGUCUGGAGCUAGCUUGCUUAGAGGAGACCUUUAUUCUAGGAUACAGGAUUGCUUGGGUAGAAGAUGCCUUACUCUAAGAUCCUCAGCUGCUCUGUCAUGGGUCCGGCCUCUGGAGACGGUCUCUUCGUUCCAGUUCGUCAGACUGAGAGAGGCUGUGGUCCAGCUGUGCUCCAGUGCUGGCCGUAGACCGGUCAUCCCUAGCCGUGGGAAUGGAGGGCUCCUACGGCAGACACAUGGCUCCUGGCGGUGUCGGGGUGGUGAGGGAGGGAUGUUACGGGGUCCACUCUGAACUGAGAGGACACUCUGAAAAGCUUUCCACUCCAUGUAGCAAAUCUGUUAGCUGGAUAUGUACCCUGCAAAGGUGUCAGGAGGGGCACCAGGUGCCUUCUGCCUUGAAGUAAGUCUGAGUGGCUUUUCUUUCACCCCUUAUUUCUGGCUUCUGUCAACCAGUUGAAGGAUGGGACAGCUAGCCCUUUCAGAUGGGGUGGGCAGAGUGAGAACACCCCAUUAGGAGCUUUGGCAAACCCUGUCUCCUAUGGCUAGGGGUUUGUGAACAUUUCGUAUCAAGUCUGAUUUAUUCUGGAACUGUGCAGAAAAUCAGCUUCACCCAGCCCCUUCACCCGACCUGAGUCGAGUGGGAGUGCUGGGUGAGGGUGGCUGGCAGCAGCUGUGCUUAUUUACCUCUGACUGCUUGGGAGGGGGUCCGGUCCUCCCAGGGUGUCCCGCAUCUGGGUCUCUAGACGGAGCCGGGCUGCGGCAGUUGGGUGAAGCUGCAGAAAGUUAGUGGGGGUAUGUCGCCGCUAGGGCUGAUUGAUUUCAAGAUCACAGGGCAGGCACACCUAGACCUGAGGAAUGUGGGAGCUGGAUGAGAGCUUGUAAGCCGUCUGGUUCCACACUC